Molecule: long non-coding RNA, 1893 nt
Organism: Cyprinus carpio (common carp)
Lineage: Eukaryota; Metazoa; Chordata; Actinopteri; Cypriniformes; Cyprinidae
Source: Ensembl
GCAACCAUGUUUUCAAUACUGCCAUUUAUAUGUAUGGUUUAGUUGAAGCAUGUUGUCCUUCAUUAAAUUUAAUGGUUUUAAUGGAAAUUAGCGAUUUAAAAUGUAUUUUUGUAACUGUUUCUAAUAUAAUAUCAGUUUUUAGUAAUAAAUUCACAUUCAUGGAUGUUGGAGCUCAUAACAGAAGUUUUAAAUAAGUAAGAAAUAAACUCAUAUUGUUGAAACCAUUUGCUAUUUUAUGCGAACUUAUAUAAUUGUUCCUAGACAUUUUUACGUAAAACGUACAAAAAUUAUAGAAUAUUUGCUAAAAUUUAAUUCACGUGUUGUAAACGAAUCACACAGAAGUGUAUUAUGUUGACGGAAGUCUACACGAUCGACCAAUCACGCUCCCAUUACUCUUUACGUCAUUUGACAGGUAGCGUAACUAGGAAGUAAACAUCUAACGCUAUAAUGGCAAGAAAGUCGUCCAAGUUAAGCCCCUACUCAAAUAUGUUACUAAAUUUCGUUUUAUAUAGUAUUUUUUAUGAAUUCGCCUUCGCCUUUCCGUCAUAUCCCGAAUCCAGACAGUCAGAAAGUUUGGAGAAACCCACCUCAACACCAAACAAUCAACAGGUUCUAAGUCUGCAUUUAGGAGUUAUCGCGUCUGUUGUGAUCGUUAUUGUUGCUGCAGUAGCAGCUGCUGUAUUCAUCAUACGGAGUUACUGCUGUCUGCAGAGUAAUGUAACAUAUAGAUAUUCAGAGCUGCGACAAAUGGAAGCGGAAAAUGCAGCCAGAGAAGAGGACGAUGGUUCAGAUGAGGUUAGUAUGUGUGGCAUUUUUUAAUUUUAGUAAUAAUAGCCUUUAAAAAUAUAUAUGCUUAAUUAUUUUUUAUUCUCAUUUUGGGUUUUCUUUCUACAGGACCUUUUGGAGUGAAUCGUGCAGCACAAUUUAUCCCUGACGUUUCUCUUCCUUUUUUAAUCCUGUGACAUUAUAUGGCCAAAAGCAUCACAUGGGUCAUUUAAAAACCACCAAGAGUCCCUGAAAUAUUUAUCUCUGUUCCACCAUUUUUCAGCACGGAUAUGUCCACCAACCAGUUAAAAUUAGCUGGUUAAAUCUGGCAGGAUUCAAAGGCUAAAAUCUCCUACGUGAAAGAGCUGUGGGGAAGCGGUUCAGAAAUACUAAAAGAUGCUCAUUGGAGAUAAAAGUUACUAUGAUUUAUUUGCAGGCAAAUAACUUAUGAAACUAGCUGUUAUGGUUGUCGGUUGUGGUGACCAUUGCUUAAAACUUGGUCAAUACUUGGAACUACUUUUUAAAGAAGAACUUGUUUAGUAUUUUCUUGAAUUUCUCAAUGCAAGGUACGUUGUACCAAAGUCGGUUGAAAUGAUUGUUCCUCUAUUUAUUGUGCCUGACCUUUUCUUUUAAAAAACAGCUUUAUGAUCUCAGGGUUGUUCCCACUGGAUACUGUGAGCAGUGCCACCAAUACCAGAAGCACAUCUGAAAUAGCAUUUGACUGUAAACAAGUCUUAUCCACUGUAAUGAUGCUGCAGACUUUGCAUUUCAGUGCCUUACUGAAAUCUGUUACUGUAUAAUUUAACUCUUGUGGUAUUUUGAACAAUGAUAUGCACUCAUAUGCCAGUAUUGAUAUUUAUAGUGGCAGUGUUUGACUUCACCUCUAUUUUAAGAUGACAAUGUUGAUACAGAAUUAUUAUGUGCAGUCCAGAGCUCCACAACAGUGUUUUUAUGAGCUCAGUCCAUGAUGGGAAGUAUUUUUGAUGGAUGCUAAUUGAAUUCUGUAUCUUUAGAUUUUCAUAUGUUUGCACCUUCUUUUCUGAGACUGAACUACUGACUACUUAAAAAAAAUAGUUAAUUUAACUGAGAAGGAAUAAAAUUAUGUACAUGAAUAUUCCUUGUAUGUUU